RNAcentral lists this ribosomal RNA (240 nucleotides) under Synechococcus sp. CB0101. Its description in RNAcentral is "partial 16S ribosomal RNA". It matches the Rfam family "Bacterial small subunit ribosomal RNA", at positions 1295 to 1533 of the family's 1533-position model. RNAcentral also lists the same sequence under 9 other names. The record is from RNAcentral. Lineage: Bacteria; Bacillati; Cyanobacteriota; Cyanophyceae; Synechococcales; Synechococcaceae.
AGAUCGUAGGCUGCAACUCGCCUACGUGAAGGAGGAAUCGCUAGUAAUCGCAGGUCAGCAUACUGCGGUGAAUACGUUCCCGGGCCUUGUACACACCGCCCGUCACACCAUGGAAGUUGGCCACGCCCGAAGCCGUUACUCCAACCCUUGUGGAGGAGGAUGUCGAAGGUGGGGCUGAUGACUGGGGUGAAGUCGUAACAAGGUAGCCGUACCGGAAGGUGCGGCUGGAUCACCUCCUAA